Molecule: small RNA, 89 nt
Filed under: Escherichia coli
Lineage: Bacteria; Pseudomonadati; Pseudomonadota; Gammaproteobacteria; Enterobacterales; Enterobacteriaceae
Description: partial RtT sRNA
Rfam family: RtT RNA
About the family: This family represents a bacterial cis-regulatory element known as RtT RNA. The exact function of RtT is unknown although it is thought that it may be involved in changing the cellular response in relation to amino acid starvation.
Source: RNAcentral
AUUCUGCCCAUGCGGGGAAGGAUGAGAAGCUUCGACCAAGGUUCGACUCGAGCGCCAGCGAGAGAGCGUUGCCGCAGGCAACGACCCGA